This is a long non-coding RNA of Oreochromis niloticus (Nile tilapia), 3977 nucleotides long. NCBI's taxonomy places the organism in Eukaryota, Metazoa, Chordata, Actinopteri, Cichliformes, Cichlidae. The record is from Ensembl.
AUGUUGUGUUUGUUGACAUGUUUUCAGGUGGAAGCAGAAUUUGUGAGGAUUACUACUGCUCCACUUGUUCCAAGGCUUUUUGCACAACUUGACCAAUACACUGACCAGCUCAUAAAAGUCUUCAAGAAAAAAGGAGGUGCUGCAGUGAAGAAAAUUAGACAAACUUUGGCUCCAGCCACAAAGAAGGAAACUAUUGAAAACGGGAGGGAGUGUGUCCUCAGGGCACUACCUUUUUACCUGAAUGAAGACCCAAGCAUCCUCUUCAAAGAAUAAUUGGUUGGUAAUUUUAGUUUAGUUUUUUAUCUGUAUUAAACCAAAUUUUGAAUAACUAAUGUUGUUGCAUGUUGUAGUGUUGUUGUUGUUGUAAUUUGCAUGGAACCUGUUUAAAUGUUUUGGGGAAUCUUCUUGUAUACCCAAACUAUUUAUAUUUAUUGUUGAAUCUGUAGUCUAAAAUAGUAGCGCACUGGGGUGCAUGUUCCUAAUAUUGUGUUUACUUCAUUAAAGGGUAGCUUUGGCUCUUUUUUUUUUCUUUUCCUUUUUUAAAUUUAACUGGACGCCAUUUUUCUUUGUUUUUGUGUCUAAGCUACAGCUACAGCUGUUCAGAGGGAGCUGGAACAAAUUACCCUUGCUAUCUUCACCAUUGAAAAAGCUGAUGUCAGCACUCCUCCAGCCGAUGUGGGUAUAACUGAGGGGUCUGAAAAAUGCUUUUGCUAUGAUGUAAUCUGUAAUUUCCACAAAGUAUGCUGAUCAGAGUGAUUUUCAAUGAUUGAACUGUAGUAGAGACGAGCAAACAUAUUGGUAGAUCUGAGAAGAGAGAACUUUUGUUAUGAAAAUGAUUUUAAUCUUUUACACAUGAUUGCAUUUGAGCUUAUUAAAGAGCUGUGGCUCCUGGUCAAGUGAAGGUCAGAAACUCUUGGCAGGCGUUAAGGAUCAGCCAAUACACGGUGAGAAGAACAGGAGCUCUGAAAGGAAUUGCAACACACCUGCUUACAUGUCAGAUGCCUGGAGUUAUAUCCUUAUAUCCUUAUAUCCUUGAGAGCUAAGAGUUAAGUUUGUAUCAUUUAUCAUUUAUAUCCUUUUAAGUAAGUUUAAGUUUCAGUUAUGUUCAGUUUGAGUAAGUUUCCUUCAUGGUUCGAGUGUGACAUUUAGCCUAGAAAUUACACAGAGUUCAGCUGUGUAGGUGCACAGGCCUUAUGUCAGGUUAAGACGAGAGGUGUGAGGUUAGCAGAGGUGCAGACGGGGUCAUGACACAUACAUAGCCUACACAGCAGGCACCCACAUACACACACACUCACACACACACACACACACCAUAACAGAUCUAUUUUGGUAGGUAAGAAGUGAAGAUGUGUUUUUGCUGCAAUUGCAAAUUGUGCCGGCAGAUUGUCAGAUGCUUACAGGAAGUAUACCUGAUCUACGGGAAGAUAAGGAGGCGUACGCGGGGCGACACCGGGAGGGAGAUGAGACGUGAUGUUCUUUAAAAUAUGUUAAAGUUAGCAGGAACAUUUUGUGGUUUAAGUGAUGUAAGCUGUACUUUGUCUAUUUUUGCAAAAGAGGGGGCUUUGUUAUUGUACCCAUAUAAAACCUUUGUCUAAUCAUUGUGAGUUCAGUUCGAUUGCUGACUUUGCCCAGCUUCGGACUCCACGCGUGUUAUCAAUAAAUCUUUGCUUUGACCACAUCUUCCGGACCAGAGUUGUUAUUUGCUUGUGAGCCCUCCGUACUCCUUUUCUCCAACUUUUGAACCUUAACAUAACCAUCUAGGGUGUUCUGCAUGACCUGGAAAACAUGGCCUCUGCAUGUGCACUCUUAAUGGGUGGGAUAUAUGCACUGAAUCUCAGUUAACCUCGAGACUGAAAGCUUUCUUUGAAGUACUUCAGAAGCUCUUCCUUCAUCUGUAUGUCAGCAGACUCUUGACCAAGGUACAGAUACUCAAGAAUAAACUGAACGAAUAAGCCAAUCCUUAAUUUGGAUGAUGAAUGUUCUGUCAGAUGGACAGAAGUUUUUCAGAGGCUGAAUGGGAAUAAAACGGUAAUUUGUUGAAAAUGACAGAUAAAGGGAAAAUUACAUUUAAGAGAAAUUUUGAAAAGUUUGUAAACUACUACAAUUUGAGAGAUUUUACUCUUGUGGGGGGAGGGGGGGCUAGUAAGAGACAAUCAAAAGUGUUGAGAUUUAAAGGAUUUAAUUGAGAGAUGAUACUGCACCAGAAAUGUUGAAGGGUGGUGUGUAUAUUAGCGUUCAAGGUAUAUUGUUAUGAGGUGGAAAUAUGUUCAUAUUCUGUUUGUGUUACAUUGUGUGCAUUGUAAAGGUAAUUGCAAUACAUACUAAGAAUAAGGGUAAGUUAGGAAUGCAGGAUGAAUGUAUAUUUUGCGGACUUUUAAAGACGAACAAUUGUUUCCAUGUUAAAAUGUUUACAACCCAAGUUUUUUGCCCAAACACUGGUAAAAUAAACGUUGAGGGUGGCAAGUGUUAAAUGGUUACUGUUGUGCUGUUGCAAAAAAACUGAACGCUGACAAGCUGUUUUAUUGUUAGACCAUAAUGCUGGCAUGCUUUAUUUAAGUUUUAUUUGGGAUGGUGAUAUAAUUUUCUUUGAUUGCUAAUAUCAGUGGACUAUUUAUUAUUAUUAUUAUUAUUAUUAUUAUAAUUAUUACAACAUUACUUUUUUUUAAUUGUGGCUGUUGAGGUGGACACUUCACUUUGCAUUGUUAAAGGAAAACACUUCAUUGGCGUUGUGUUACUGGACUGACCCUAAGCAAUCAUUGCAAAUACCAACUUUGCUAUCCAUUUUAGACACUAAAAGAAAAAGCACUCCACAGACCUUAUUAGCAUCAUACGUAACUCAAGUGUCAUCUUAUCAACAUGUUAUUUGGUCUUCAAUGUUUUUUUCUUCUAUUUCUGGCAGAUACAGACAUUUAAUUUAAAGUCUUGAUGUUGCAUCUGUCUACAUACUGUUAGUUACUAACCCUAAUGACCUGUUGUGUUUUAUUUUGGACUGGGUUUACACAAAUGCUCACUGAAUGUGUUGGCAAUAAAAGAAAUUUAAAAAAAUAAGUUGGAUGUACUUAAUUCAUUUGUGUGGAACCUGUUGACAAAAUAGAUUUAUGUAAAACUAAUUAGUAAAGCACAAGGUGGCUGAAAAUAUAAUAUUUGAAUUAAUCUAACUUAAAUUUAACAUUUUACUGCCACAAAUAAGAAAUGUGUUGAAGUAACUAAUCUAAACUAUCUAACCUGUAAAUAUAUCAUUUAUGUUCAUACAACAUAAUUUGAUUUAGGUAGUCUUAAAUAUCUCUUGUUAAUCUUAAGUAGUUUUUUAAAAUUAGAUGAACUAAAGAAUUUCGUGGAACCUGUUGACAAAAUAAAUUUAAUUAAAGUCAACGUUUCAUUUUUUUGAGUGUGCUGGAACUGAUGAACAAAUUUAGUCGCUUCAUUGACAAAUCCAGGGUUUGGUUUAAUGGGGCGGAAGAUCACAAUAAAGCAAGAAUGAAGGACAAUGAAAAGAAACUGGAAGAACUAAAGAACAUCAUCAAAUUUCUAGAGGAGAAACGAGAUGAACUCUAACGGUUUCUAUUUAAUAUCUUCAAAAUAAAUACAUGUUGUUUAGAUAUACGAUGUUUUCAUGAAAGAGGUGGACAUCAUUUAUUGCCUGAACUGUGAUUCAUUUUCAUUCAUUUAUACACUUUAAAUAAAAUCUGAAAUAUGAUGGAUGUAUUACCUGUGGAAAAAUUGAUUCUAGGCCAACUCCUUUUUACUUCAUUUUAACAAUUUAUAUUGAUAGCACUGUGUUUUUUGUUAACUAAUUCUUAUUUACAAUUAUAUAUAAGUGACACAAUAUAUAAUAAUACUUCAUUCCUGAUUCUCUUCAACUUAACAUGUAAAACCUGCAGCAUUACUUUGAUUUGGUCCAAGCUGUGCUUAAUGACCAAAACUGGCACUGAAUUCAGGUCAGACUUAUUAAAGUUUACAUUAUUCUCCUGUCACUG